This 69-nucleotide transfer RNA is filed under the name Ictidomys tridecemlineatus (thirteen-lined ground squirrel). RNAcentral's name for it is "Spermophilus tridecemlineatus (thirteen-lined ground squirrel) tRNA". It matches the Rfam family "tRNA". Rfam says of the family: Transfer RNA (tRNA) molecules are approximately 80 nucleotides in length. Their secondary structure includes four short double-helical elements and three loops (D, anti-codon, and T loops). The record is from Rfam by way of RNAcentral. Lineage: Eukaryota; Metazoa; Chordata; Mammalia; Rodentia; Sciuridae.
GGGGUUGUAGCUCAGUGGUAGAGCACUUGCCUAGCAUGCCUGAGAACCUGGGUUUGAUCCUCAGCACCA